RNAcentral lists this ribosomal RNA (434 nucleotides) under uncultured bacterium. RNAcentral describes it as "partial 16S ribosomal RNA". It matches the Rfam family "Bacterial small subunit ribosomal RNA", at positions 29 to 507 of the family's 1533-position model. The record is from RNAcentral.
CGCGAACGCUGGCGGCAGGCUUAACACAUGCAAGUCGAACGGGCAUCUUCGGAUGUCAGUGGCAGACGGGUGAGUAACACGUGGGAACGUACCCUUCGGUUCGGAAUAACUCAGGGAAACUUGAGCUAAUACCGGAUACGCCCUUUUGGGGAAAGGUUACUUCCGAAGGAUCGGCCCGCGUCUGAUUUGCUUGGUGGUUGGGUAACGGCCUACCCAGGCGACGAUCAGUAGCUGGUCGGAGAGGAUGAUCAGCCACACUGGGGCUGAGACACGGCCCAGACUCCUACGGGAGGCAGCAGUGGGGAAUAUUGGACAAUGGGCGCAAGCCUGAUCCAGCCAUGCCGCGUGAGUGAUGAAGGCCUUAGGGUUGUAAAGCUCUUUUGUCCGGGACGAUAAUGACGGUACCGGAAGAAUAAGCCCCGGCUAACUUCGUG